AUGUCUAUGAUAUGGUUUAAUAACAUAAUAACAGAAAAUAAAUUGCAGCAACAAUGUUGGUAUUUCAGGAAGCCCCUCCAGUGCAAUGCCCUGGCAGAUAAAACCUACGACACAUCUGGCAUGACCUUUGCUUAUGGUGGUGCAGGCGUGCUGGAUAGCACAUCACAAGAGGGUCACACCCUCACCAAGAAAGUCAACACUUUUAGGAUGAUUUAUUUGAAUGACGGGACCAUCUUAGAGAAGCAAUUGACUCGCUCGGUAGAGCUUGAGGCCGUCUAUGGUAACGACUAUGCAAGCACAAGCGGGAUUUGCCUAAGUAGCGUGAAUCUCUAG
This 333-nucleotide ribosomal RNA is filed under the name Triticum aestivum (bread wheat). Its description in RNAcentral is "partial small subunit ribosomal RNA". The record is from RNAcentral. Lineage: Eukaryota; Viridiplantae; Streptophyta; Magnoliopsida; Poales; Poaceae.